This 1322-nucleotide long non-coding RNA is filed under the name Setaria viridis. Its description in RNAcentral is "long non-coding RNA (SVIR_LNC006511)". Lineage: Eukaryota; Viridiplantae; Streptophyta; Magnoliopsida; Poales; Poaceae. The record is from RNAcentral.
UCUCCUCGAACUCCGGAGAUCCUUCUGAAAAUUCCGAGAAAUCCCCUUCUGGUGCUUCGGUGUCUAUAACACAACAUAUGCAGGGGUUAGGAAUGCAACUUUUUGAAUAUAAGACUAUACAACUUUCCUUCAUAAUAAAGUUGCAAGACAACAAGGACUAUACAACUUAUCAUGAUAAAGUUGCAAGCCAACACACAAAAACCCGAAAAGAUUAACCCAACAAUUUUAUUUCCUUAACUAACCUUACCUAGGGCUUUUUCUUUUAUUUUUAGAAAAUGUUAUAAUUAUUUUCUAGCCUUAAAAUCUAAUUUCCUAUGAGUUAAUAAUAAUUUGUGAUUAUGAAAAUUUUAUUCCAUAUUUUAUGUAUUUAAUAAAGAUUAAGUAUUUAUUUAAAUACCUUAAAAGAAAGGCAUUAAAUAAAUACCCAAAUUUUUAUUAUUUUUCUAAGGUAUAAAAAUUUUAAUGCAUCAAGGAAAAUAAAAUGAGCCUAACAAAAUUGGUUUCACUAAUUUUGGACACCCCUAGAAAUUUCUAUGAUUUAAAUGGUGAGAUUCGAAUUUAAAAUAUUUAUUCUAUAAAGGAAAUCUAACUUUGUCCUGAAAAACACCCCGGCCUACUUUUCUCAUGCGCCUUAACUCUACCCCCUCUCUCUUACACUAGGCCCGGGGCUCGGACCCACCCCCUUCUCCUAUUCAUCCUACCCGCCGACCACUUCUCCUCAGCCGGGCCCUACUGGGCCGAUUUUCUUUUUUUAUUUUCCUUAUCUCGGACUAGCACCGGCCCAACGGCCCAUUACUUCUUUUCCUCUUCCCGCGCAGCUCCUGGCCCACCUCCCUGGCCUACAGGCCUGUUGGACUCAUGGGCCUCUGGCCUUCUUUGCUCCUUUGACUGCCCGCACCGGCACCUGGGCCUCCAGGACUGCGGCCCAUCCGACGCCCUCGCCCAGCCGGCCUCCCUUUUCUCUCUUCUUCUCCCUGACGCACGAGCCCGCGGCACCAGGACCUUCUUCUUCCUCCCGCCAAAAACUGCAACGACAGGGGGCGGUGCGGCUCGCUGGCCGGCGCCUCACCGGCGACAGGGCUAGGCCGGGGAAGCAUCCCCAUGCCCUAACGCACCUGUGCGCGGUGAUAGCUCCCCGGGAGAUGGCCGGAGCCAUUCCCUCCACGGCGGCGGGCGGUGGCGCCUACGGCCGGUCGUGACUAAGCACGACGACAGCUUAGCUUACCCCGACGAGUACCUCUACGGCUUCCUAGCAUCCCAAGGACUCACCUAUGACUACCCAUAGGGAAAGAGAACAGCGGCAAGAAGGUGCUCACUGUGAG